CCCUUAGAUGUUCUGGGCUGCACGCGCGCUACACUGAUGCAUGCAACGAGUUUUCGACCUUGCCUGAAAAGGUUGGGUAAUCUGUUUAACAUGUGUCGUGAUGGGGAUAGACCAUUGCAAUUAUUGAUCUUCAACGAGGAAUUCCUAGUAAGCGCGAGUCAUCAGCUCGUGCUGAUUAUGUCCCUGCCCUUUGUACACACCGCCCGUCGCUCCUACCGACUGAGUGAUCCGGUGAAUGAUUCGGACCAGCGUGCUGCUCAGAUCCUGCGCAGUGUGCUGGGAAGUCUAGUGAACCUUAUCACUUAGAGGAAGGAGAAGUCGUAACA
RNAcentral lists this ribosomal RNA (326 nucleotides) under uncultured eukaryote. Its description in RNAcentral is "partial 18S ribosomal RNA". It matches the Rfam family "Eukaryotic small subunit ribosomal RNA", at positions 1470 to 1796 of the family's 1831-position model. The record is from RNAcentral.